RNAcentral lists this transfer RNA (68 nucleotides) under Odoribacter laneus. It matches the Rfam family "tRNA". Rfam says of the family: Transfer RNA (tRNA) molecules are approximately 80 nucleotides in length. Their secondary structure includes four short double-helical elements and three loops (D, anti-codon, and T loops). Further hydrogen bonds mediate the characteristic L-shaped molecular structure. tRNAs have two regions of fundamental functional importance: the anti-codon, which is responsible for specific mRNA codon recognition, and the 3' end, to which the tRNAs corresponding amino acid is attached (by aminoacyl-tRNA synthetases). tRNAs cope with the degeneracy of the genetic code in two manners: having more than one tRNA (with a specific anti-codon) for a particular amino acid; and 'wobble' base-pairing, i.e. permitting non-standard base-pairing at the 3rd anti-codon position. RNAcentral also lists the same sequence under 1 other name. The record is from RNAcentral. Lineage: Bacteria; Pseudomonadati; Bacteroidota; Bacteroidia; Bacteroidales; Odoribacteraceae.
GGAUGUAGCUCAGUCGGUAGAGCAUCGGUCUCCAAAACCGAGUGUCGGGAGUUCGAGUCUCUCCAUCC